This 361-nucleotide long non-coding RNA is filed under the name Nicotiana tabacum (common tobacco). Its description in RNAcentral is "long non-coding RNA (NTAB_LNC015023)". Lineage: Eukaryota; Viridiplantae; Streptophyta; Magnoliopsida; Solanales; Solanaceae. The record is from RNAcentral.
CCUUUUUUUUUCCUUCUACGUCUAUACCUGCUGAAAUCAACUCAACUCCCUUCUCUUUCAGCUGACGCGGCUUGUGGGUAGGCAACGAACUACUAACAUUUUCACAACUACAACUUAUGCCUGCACCCUUGACUCGACAUGUAUGUAUUGCAAACUGACAAGAUCUUUACGAUAUAUCUCCUCUCUCUACAGCUUUCAAGCUCAAGAGUCAAGAAGUAACAUAAUAAAAAUAUUGGCUUCAAUUAGAGCCCUGAACAAGUCCUGCCAAGGUAAUUGCUAGUAAGUUCCGCCAAGGUAAUUGUGAACCUGGCAAUUUUCAAAGAUUGAAACUUCAAGAGAAGGGAAUUAUGUAGGAUAUUUC